ACCGAAUUGGUGUAGGGGUUUAACAUUCGGGAUUCUCAUUUCCAAUAAUGGCUUUCCCGAGCCAGGAGUUCGAAUCUCCUAUUCGGUG
RNAcentral lists this transfer RNA (88 nucleotides) under Xylaria sp. FL1042. Its description in RNAcentral is "tRNA-Glu". It matches the Rfam family "tRNA". From Rfam's summary of the family: Transfer RNA (tRNA) molecules are approximately 80 nucleotides in length. The record is from RNAcentral. Lineage: Eukaryota; Fungi; Ascomycota; Sordariomycetes; Xylariales; Xylariaceae.